Non-coding RNA from Pelobates cultripes (western spadefoot toad), 1020 nucleotides. Lineage: Eukaryota; Metazoa; Chordata; Amphibia; Anura; Pelobatidae. The record is from the annotation of a GenBank genome assembly.
CUGAGAUAAAAAUUGCCUUCAUUACAUAGAGUUCAAUUUAUGACCUCCAUACAAUGUGCAAAAAAAUAAAUAAAAAAAUAUGGAAAAUGAACUAUGUUCAUAUAAAGAAUUUCCUUUACAAAUACAGUGUUUGGAGAGAAUGCACUAAGCAAUAAUUCCAUCAUUCUCAUUUCAUUCGAAAUGUUUGUAAAUUCCAACUCCCAUGCUCUCUGGGAAAUGUAGCUGGGUUGCUGGGCUUGCAAUGUUGGCUAUCACUGCUCAAAUUUAUUUUAAAGCAGAGCCAUAUAGUACUACUAUAAUGACACAAAAUGUAUACACUUGUUAUUGAGUUUACAGGAUCUAUAGCAUUGAUGGCUUUACCUUGACACCAUAAAUUGUUUCUGGACUACAUUUCCCAUGAUGCUCAGCUAGCUUUUACAGUCUAAAUGCUAGCUGUCAAGGUUAGCCAUCACUGAUAGUCUAAAAUAUAUUUCAUAUCUCAUAAGUUCUCACACAUAGUAUUCCUCUUUAAUUCUUACAGAACCUUAUGUUCUAGCUUUUCAAAUGGGUACUGCAGACAGAAUUUUUUUUUUUUUGGGUGUGUGUAAAAUGCUGUUUUCGAUAACUCCAUUUUAAUACAAAGUUAUCACAUAGUUUCUUCUAUAUAAGAAUGUCUGUCUGCCUUCAAAUAAUUGUUUUGAUAUGUUAAGAAUAUGUAUAAAAAGAAAAAGAAUAUACCGCACUCUCACUUGAAUGAUGCUUAUAGAUAAUUUGUAUGUUUAUUUUUUUUAGUACUGAAAAAAAUAAACAUGUCACCCUUGCCAACAAAGUAAAUCCUACAGUGGAAUAAUAAAGUGUGCCUACAUAUUUGUUGGAAUAUCUACACUUGUCAGCCACAGAAAAAUAUAAUGCAAAUAAAGAAAAAAAAUCAACCAAAAAAAAUCACAUGAAUACAAUUAGUAUACCCCAUAAAGGAAGCCUGCGAUCAGUAAGCUCGUGAAUACCACACAAUCUGCAUGUAAUGAGAGUAGAAAGAAAAAA